AUGGCCCCAGGUAUCCUCUUCGGCUUGAUCUUUCCUUUGCUUCGACCGCCAACUUGCACUUCCUUUAUUCCACUAUUGCGAUAUCUUUGUCCUGGACAAAGACCAAGAGCUGGUGCAGGUGAAAGAAUAGCUUAUGGGGCUGGAGUCAAAGGAGCUUUCAUAGACAUAGAAAUCAUUAUGGAAAGAGCAGGCCUGCGAGCAGCGAGUGCCCUUUGUAAGUUGCGAGCCUGCCUUACCGCCCCCCUUUCUUUUUUGAAUUAG
RNAcentral lists this ribosomal RNA (261 nucleotides) under Triticum aestivum (bread wheat). RNAcentral's name for it is "partial small subunit ribosomal RNA". Lineage: Eukaryota; Viridiplantae; Streptophyta; Magnoliopsida; Poales; Poaceae. The record is from RNAcentral.